RNAcentral lists this long non-coding RNA (1022 nucleotides) under Cucumis sativus (cucumber). RNAcentral describes it as "long non-coding RNA (CSAT_LNC002352)". Lineage: Eukaryota; Viridiplantae; Streptophyta; Magnoliopsida; Cucurbitales; Cucurbitaceae. The record is from RNAcentral.
UAAAUUUCACCCAGUCAAACGCAGUAAACAUUAAACUUUAAGUCAAUAUCCAAACAUACAUCGUAACUGUCAUCCCUACUCAGUUCACAUAUAAUAUUACGGUCCAUACAGUCAAUACAUCUUAAUUAGUCAAUACAUCUUAAUUUUUGUUAUUGAGUCCAGUAGAAAAUCCCUUACCUCACUUUUAUGCAAGUUCUUCAAUCUAACUAAAUCCAAUAAAUCAAAUCCUACUAAUAAUCAAACAUAAAAUCAACAUCUUUCUAAAUAGUUUCAACCAUUCAAAUUACCCCAUAUGUAAAUUCCACAACUUACCCAAGAAGUGGAAAAUCAAUUCCACCUCAACUUUUUGGAAAAUCAAGGAUUCGCUCACUGAAUCAAGAUAUACCUUCAAGAAUUAAGCAUUUCGCCAACAAUUAAAUCCAAUGGUAGCAUUCAACAAAAGCCAAGAAAACAACAAAACCCAUAACUUGUUCUUACCGAAAUAUGAGCCCAAUGGUUCACGGCAAGGCAAAAAUGACAAUCAAGAAACGAAUCAAACGGCUGUAAAUAGAGCAACACUGAAUGCGACUCAACCGGAAAAGAAAAUCGACUUCAAAUCGUAACUCCGUCUUACAACGAGCAGAAGAACGUCGACUUGAUAGGGGACACGCAAUUUAGGAAGAGAUCGGCUUGGAUCCGUGUAUGACUUCACGAGAUGUAUGCGUCGACGGCUUCACGGAUGUGAAGACAGACGCGGUCGGAGUGUAGAGGGUUUAGGCGGUCGGCGUCCGCUAAGGGAGGCGAAACGCGCCAACGGCUGGGGAAGGGAGUAGAAGCGCGCGAUCUGGGACGUGGUGACGCUGGUGGUUGUUGGGCUGCGAACGGAAGGAGAAGAGAGGGAGGCGUGCGGCGUGCGGGGUACAGGAAGGAGAAGAAGAAAAUACGCGCGGGAGGAAGAAGAAGAAAAAUUUUCUUUUCUUUUCUUUUAUUUAAUUUAAUAAUAAAAAUUAUAAAAUAAAUAAAUAUAUAUAGUUAUAUUAUUA